ACACAUGCAAGUCGAACGAUGAACCUCACUUGUGGGGGGAUUAGUGGCGAACGGGUGAGUAACACGUGAGUAACCUGCCCUUGACUCUGGGAUAAGCCUGGGAAACCGGGUCUAAUACUGGAUACGACCUUCUGGCGCAUGCCAUGUUGGUGGAAAGCUUUUGUGGUUUUGGAUGGACUCGCGGCCUAUCAGCUUGUUGGUGGGGUAAUGGCCUACCAAGGCGACGACGGGUAGCCGGCCUGAGAGGGUGACCGGCCACACUGGGACUGAGACACGGCCCAGACUCCUACGGGAGGCAGCAGUGGGGAAUAUUGCACAAUGGGCGCAAGCCUGAUGCAGCGACGCCGCGUGAGGGAUGAAGGCCUUCGGGUUGUAAACCUCUUUCAGUAGGGAAGAAGCCUGUCUUUUGGGUGGGUGACGGUACCUGCAGAAGAAGCGCCGGCUAACUACGUGCCAGCAGCCGCGGUAAUACGUAGGGCGCAAGCGUUAUCCGGAAUUAUUGGGCGUAAAGAGCUCGUAGGCGGUUUGUCGCGUCUGCCGUGAAAGUCCGGGGCUUAACUCCGGAUCUGCGGUGGGUACGGGCAGACUAGAGU
This 593-nucleotide ribosomal RNA is filed under the name unidentified microorganism. RNAcentral describes it as "bacterial SSU rRNA". It matches the Rfam family "Bacterial small subunit ribosomal RNA", at positions 51 to 647 of the family's 1533-position model. The record is from RNAcentral.